Molecule: long non-coding RNA, 8001 nt
Organism: Bacillus rossius redtenbacheri
Lineage: Eukaryota; Metazoa; Arthropoda; Insecta; Phasmatodea; Bacillidae
Exons: 2
Source: RefSeq, a predicted model, not a curated record
GCAUGACAGAAGGUGGCAGUGCCUUUUUCAGGGCUUCAAGCGCUUCCUGCAUGGCUAGGGGUCUUCUAUAUUCCUGUCGUGGAUCCAGUGGAUAGGAAAUGUGAGGUGUGAGAUCAAGUGGACUGCUUAUUAAAAUGAAUUGUACAGUAGUAGUUUGCUAGCAUUAUGGUCCUUUCAGGUUUGCCUAAGUGGGCUGCCUACAUGUAGCACUAAGGCUAUAGAAAAUAUAUCUACAUAUUACGGUACUGGAAAAAAAAACAUUUUUGCAGUAUUUGUAAAGAUCUGUAAAUAAAGUAUAUACAAAUGAGUGUUAAAAAAUUGAAAUGCAUAUUUUAGAAGAUUUUUUUUAUACGAGAAAAUGUACAUUAUACAGCAUCAGUCAGUCAUGACUCAUGAGUUAUAACUAGGGUCAACAAUUCAAUUGUGUUAUUGACUGAUAGUUGGUUGUAAAGAAAUAAUACAUCUCGGUGAAACUGCUACAUCAAAGGACUGACACCGUAAAUGUGAUAUCAGGAACUGAUGUUGCUUAAUAAAUUACUUCAUCAGGCUGCCAUGUUUCUGAAGAGUCAAAUGUUCAAAGUUUUCUGAAGAAUUCUUUAUUUCCAAACUGCUAAAAAUUGUGUAGUGACAGCUCAUGUCGAAUAACAUUUAAGAAACUUUCUGAAUGUCAGUAUAGUUUUCUUUACCUUAACACAUAUUAUCAUGAGAUUAAUUGUUUUGACAAUUAAUUUUUACAUAUGAAAAUUCUUUAGAGUACCUAUAUUUAAAGCAACAUAUAGACUUGAAGCCAGUUUUUGUUUGUUCAGGUGUCGAAAGAUACACUGUAAACAAUUUUCAGAACUUUAAAGGACAUUUUAAGGAAAUAUUGUUACAACAUUUUUAGGUAUAUCACAGUCCUUUUUGAACAUAAAAAGGUGAUGAAAUUAAAAGUAACCAAAACUGUGAACCUUAACGGACAUUAUUAUCAGCGAUGGCCAGGUUCUACUAUUUUUCAACAGGCGCCCUGAAGCAUUGGAAAGACAGCUUUGGUAAUGAACUAUUACCCACUACUCUACCAGAAUGUUUAAGGCAGACGGAGCUCCUCGCUCGGCUCCCGGCGGCGCAGCACGCCUACUUGGAGCCCCCCUGCAGGCUGCACAGCUUGUGGUACCUCCCGCGCAGAGCCAGCAGCUGGCCGUGCGAGCCCGACUCCACCACCCGCCCCUUGUCCACGACGCAGAUCACGUCCGCGUCCUGGACCGUCGACAGCCGGUGGGCUAUCGUGAUGCACGUGCGCCCUUGCUUCGCCUGGUCCAGGGCCUCCUGGACUAUCUGCAGGAUCACAUCAUUAUCCCACACAUUAGAUCUUCUGUCGGCGGAGUAAUGAGAUAAUUUUUUCACAACGUGUAUUUGUUGUAUGUAUAUGUUUUAUAUUUGUGUAAACAUGUACGAUGCUGAAAUCCUUUAUGUAUGUGUGUUGUGUAAGUAUACAACAUAGUCCUAUAAGUAGCUCAGACGAGCCAACCACUUCAGAGAACGGGAAUAUUUACAGCUGCCCAACUGGGCUGGGCUGGGCUGGGCUGGCGAGUGAAGACGCCCGCCACUGGGGGCACAUGUGCCCCUGGUAAAUACAACUCAGGUGUGCCCAUUAUUAAACUUGGGCCGCAAGGCCCAAGAGCCCAAAACCUGUUUGGAUUAUUCUUUCUGCCCCGUCCAACUACCUAUUUUUACCUGGAUCUUUUUCCUUCUUUCUUGCUUGCAUUAAUGCAUGAUUAAUUGAUCCCAGCAUGACCCGGCCCAGGGUUUUCCAUGUGUUUAUGCAGGUUUUACCUGGGUGACAUUAGUUAGCUUUAGGCUAAGCAACCUAUGGGGCGUCAGCCAUGGCGCCAAUUGCUGCAAUGACUGGCCAAUAAACCUCAAAAAGCACAUGAUGCACGCGCCCUUGUUCUGCAUGGUUAAAACCCAGCAUGGUAGAAUGAACAGGCUUUAAGCCUGAGACACACUUAUGUCCUCCCCUAACCUGGAACCCUCCCGCACACUUGGAUUAACUUAGGCUAGCUCUCUCUCUACAUAUAUAAAUACAAUUUUAUAUUAUUCAGAGAAAUUCACCAGAGAAAUCUGGGGUCUGGGGAAAAUCAAACCUGAGAAGUAGAAUAUUGGGUGUAAACUUACCCUCUCGCUCUCCGUAUCCAAAGCAGAUGUUGCUUCAUCAAGCAGUAGCACUCUAGGGUUCCUGACAAGUGCCCUCGCGAUAGCUACUCUCUGCUUCUGGCCUCCAGAAAGCUGUGUCCCUUUCUCACCCAUGGACGUCUCGUAGCCCUGGAAGCAGCCAGCAUUAAAAGUACUUCCACAACCUAUAUAUACUAUGUACUUGGCACAAAAAAGUUCGAGAAUAAAUAAGAGAAAAGGGCAAAAAGAGAGACGAGCAGAAAGAAAUCGAAAUAAUGUAAAAAGUGGAGCAAAAUCAUUGAGAAAAAAAUUACUGUACAUUUUUACAAAAUGUGAAACUUUCAAUCGCAAAAAUAAAUUUCACCCAUUGCCAAGAAAUGAUUCACCAACACAGAGGCCUCACAAGUUUUGGACACGAACUAAGUGAUAUUUUAAUAAUAAUCAUCUUAAAACAGGAACUUUGCCAUAAAGGACGUGAGUGCUUUGAAGUGUGUGCUAGAAGUCAUAUGCGAGGAUGGUCGGAGUUGUAGCGUGGGAUGCUCACGGUAGGCAGGGACUUGAUGAAGCUGUGGAUGUUGGCCUUGCUGGCGGCGCUGAUGAUCUCGUCCAUGGGGACGCUCCUCGAGUUGUCCCCGUAGGCGAUGUUCUCGGCGAUGGUGCGGUUGAAGAGCACGGGCUCCUGCGACACCAGCCCCAGCUGGGACCGCAGGUUCUCCAGGGUCAGGGACGAGACGUCUCUGCCGUCCAUGGACUGCAACGGUUCACAAGUGCCUGGUUCAAGAGCUGCAGGUGCUGAGCGUUGCUCUCGGCUCAGUACGAGCGAGCAAAGCCUACUAAAAUAAUGCACAGCAGUAAGGACACUAAUAGCAAACCUCUUACUACUGGCUCGCUGUAGGAAAGGUUUUGAUGGAGAUUAAAAACUGACGAAAACUAGCUUCUACCGCGCAGAUUAGGUUUCCCCCCUCCCUUCUUUGCGACAUAGAGGGGAGUGACGGAAAUUCUCUAUCGCUAAGAAGUAGAAGCUAGUUUUCGUCAGUUUUUAAUCUCCUACAGCGAGCUAGAAGUCGCUAUUGUUUUUCUUCUUCUUUUUUUCUUUUCAAUCACACUAUUUGCAUGAAAAUGAAUUAUACUUGCAAGUUAACUGCACAAAUCAGUAGCUCUUUUCCAUACGAUUAAAUAAAUUGUAGAUACUUCCCAGGGGGACCCUCAGACUUAAUGUUUAUAAUAUCCUUUACACAGUUAUGAUUUUUAAAGCGCAAGCGGCGGUUCCCUACCGUGAGGGCUUGCCCACAGGUGCACUUAUAAUUCACUUCACAGGUUCCUAUGAAACUCUGGACUAGCAAGACUUCGCCGAGCAAACACGCACCACGGCUCCUGACAAAGGGUCGUAGAAGCGCUCCAGCAGCUGGAUGCAGGUGGACUUGCCACACCCGCUGGGGCCCACGAGGGCCACCGUCUGGCCUUGCUUCACUUCCAGGUUCAGGCCCCGCAACACGCGAGCGCUCUCGCGAGACGGGUAGCAGAAUUCCACCUUCGAGUACUGAACGUUGCCUUCCGUGGUCUGCGAACACAAGUCACACACAUUAGUGAUUACAUAUUUUUUUCCUGUUCGGACAGCUUACUGCAGACUUCCAAGUGAGAAAUUUUUCUAUGUACUGCAUUCUCUGCCGGAUAAAACAUGGUUCUAGGCUGGUAUUUAUAGUCACAUCUUGAGCAAUGUCUUGAGACCGUCUUGACGAAGAAGGACUUGUUUCUCAAGGCAGUGAUUUCAAUCUCCAUGUUUCAUAGUCCGCGAACAAGACGAGCUUCAUGAAGACUGCAUGCUCAAGCAAGAGCUUGUUUGCCGUACUUACGGCUUGACUAAGCACUUACUUGAGACAGCCGAAAAGACAUGAGCAUACACGAACUUUGCCGAUUGAACUGUUUUCGUUAAAUAUUCUGGUACUAUUCACACCAAGCCCUGAAACCCCAGAAUUUGAUGCUAUUUAUAGUAACAAGAUUUAGUAAGUAUAUAUCACUACAUUCGAAGUGCGUUUGUACGUUGAUGUGAAAAAUUUGUUUAUUGUUUUAAUACUCUUGAAUCACACAUGGAAAAAAUUGAUGUUUUGCGACCACAAAUAUGCACACCUUCUAGUACAUCUCAACUUGUGUCACUUGAGAUGAAUGAAAUUAAGAACUUUAUAAACUUUUGUCUUUCCUAUGUAAGUUUAACAUUAAGAAAUUAUGUAUCUAAUGAUUUAAUAAUACCCUUUUAAAAAAUAAUAAAAUUAAGUUUGCAUCUGCAGAACUGUUAAUACUGUAUUACUACUUGUUUAAAAGCUACUUGUCUUUACAGAAUUAUCAAAAAAUAUUUCAGGUAGUGAAAAACUUUUUUUUGUUGAGAAAAUGUCACUCUGCUUCAGCUUCAGGAUAACGUACAGUAAAUGUUAGUUUAAUAAAAAUAUAAUAUUUAACUACACAGUAAAAGAAAAUUUUUAAUUUAAGUAAGAAAAAUGUGUGUUUAGAAUUAUAACAGUAAGUUUGAACGAAUCUGAUAAGAGUACAUAGUAAGAAACUUAAAAUUUGUAAAACCCUUUAUAAAGUGUUUGUUCAUCAAUAAUAUAAGACAUUAAUUUCCUCAUAUAAUAGGUUAAUUUUUCUUGUUCAAGUUACUUGUGAUUCUAUAAUUUAAUUGUAUUAUAAGUAAAAUAUAUAGACUACAGUAUCUCUCAAAGCCUGCUGCGUAUGAAAUAUCCAAAUCAAUAAACUGAGCUAUGUAUUUAAAUAUAUUAUAACAAUUAGAUUUAAAAAAAAUAAUCUAAUAAAAUUUCUCUUAAAGCUAUAUUUGCAUUUUUCAUUAACUGUAACUAUAAAAAAAAGUUCUGUCAGUGCCAGGAUUUGAACCACAUUCAUAUUGUUUCCUCUAUUAAUGGACUUGAAAUCCAACUCCCUAACCAUUACACUACCAAACUUUUAAUGAAAUAUUGUGGAAAAUUAUUUUAAAUCAACAGUGUACUGCCACUUUUUCUUAAAUUAUUUUUAAUGUAUUCUGGGUGUCACGAAUGUAGAAUUAAAUUUUCUGAUUGUGAUAUGUACCAUCAACCAUCAUUAAACGCAUCGUUUUCCACAUCCAUUGUACUCGUUCUGUGAUUGAUAUGUAAAUAAACGUGUCUGUUUAGCACUUGAAAAUGUAAUCACUGGUCACAAACAAGCACUAAACUCAUUUAAAAUACAUAUAAAAUUGCUUCAGCACUUCAUACAGGAUUUAUUUAAGUUUAAAAAUACGAGGUUCACGAGAAUCCGCCAUUUUCUACAUUGCGAUCAGAACAAGCAAUUGCUUGAGACAUGCCUGCAGUGGUCUUGGCAAAGACGAUCUUAUUCGUGUUCUUAAGCACGGUCUCAGCGACUAUGAAACAUGCUUCUACGAUGGUGUUCUCAAGCAACGACUAUGAGACAGGAGAAUGCCCUCUCAGAAAUAAGAAAUAUGGGACUAUCAUAAGAUGGUCUUCAUCAAGAUUGUCUUGUUUGCGAUCACUUGAGAUCAUCUCAAGCAACCUCUAUGGCACACAAAGGUUAAAUAAGAAUGCAUAUAAGAAUUUCUUGACGAAGGAAUUGCUCAAGACGUGAAUAUAAAUACCACCCCUAGUAUGUACUUUCAUUCUGGUAGCAUCCCCAAAUUGUGCCUGCCUCAACUGGCCUUUCAACAAGUGAAUGCAUAAAAAGCAAGGGUAAAACCAAAAUGAAUUUCGGCAUGCACAGAGUGAGUGAGACACCCAGAAGAAAUAUAGGGGACAUGAAAUUAAGGAUAAAUACAAUUUCAUGGAGAAUUUUAUCGCAGCUUUUGGGCGGAAGUUUUUCAAGGCCUCUGUAGAUGCUGAGUGUGUGUGUGUUUGUGUUUGUGUGUGUGUGAGAGAGAGAGAGAGAGAGAGAGAGAGAGAGAGAGAGAGAGAGAGAGAGAGAGAGAGAGAGAGAGAGAGAGAGAGAGAGAGAUCUGCAAUUGAACACUGUGCAUUUAUGAUGGUCAGAUGUUCAGAGUUGCUAACUAACUUGCUGGUCAAUAGAUGCCAAUUAUGGUGACAAAUACAAGGUGUAUUGUGUAACAAAAUUUUUUUUUACACACGUAAAAAUUCACAACACAGCUAGAUAAUUAUGAAACUAAUGUCGUAAUGUGUUAAAUCAAAACAUAAGUUUUAAAAUAAUGUUUAAUGCUAAUAUUUUAACAGUUAAGAUAACAAUAUUGCAAAAUGAAAAGAAAAAAAGAACACAAACUAACCCACUUUCCUGUACUAUGUACGACUGGAUCCAUAAUCCUUGGUUUCCUGUCUAGAAGCUUGAAAAUUCUGCCCGCUGCAGCAAUGCCUUUUUCGAAAUUGGGUGAAAAUGCUAUUGCAUUUGCUAUUGAAGAUGUGCCCAUUAUCAAUGCAUUUGCAAUCCUAAAAAGAAAAAUAACACACAAAUGUCACACUCCACUUAAGCAUUUUUUUAUUAAUUUUUACGACACUUAAUUAUAAUAACUUGGGCAAUGUAGCAGGUACUCAUAAAUAACGAUAUACCUCACUCCUUUACUUCAGGGAAUGCCAGCCUAUGUUAAAACUAAUGGUGUAUUCAAAGAGGACUUUCUUUAGCUAUUAUAUGAUGAUGAUUUUGCCUGCAAUUCUGAUAAAUCAUCAAUAUUGUAAGCCGCAGCAUAUUUUCAAAUGUAAAAAAAAAAACUCAAUAAAUAAUUGGAUAUUAGAAUCAAAUAAAUUCAGUGAAUCACAAAGCUAUCAAUUGUAAGACCUAACAAAUUUUCUGAGUUUAAAAAACUUGCAAGAAAAGUAGUAUAAUAGAGUUGAGUAAAUACAACAUGCUUUACGUUCUUUUAUUGGGUUUUGCAAUGGAAAUGAUUGAUUAAUUUUUAUAUAUAUAUAUAUAUAUGUACUCCAUUGCUAGUUACAAUUGACACAUUUCAUGUACGCAACUACUGACAGACAUCAGUUCCCUGCAACACUGCCUGGCACUCACUUGAACACGUCUGAGAACACCAUCUCGCCGUUCCUGACCAGCUGCCCCCCGUAGUACAUGGUGGCCGCAAACGCGAAGAACGUGAUGCUGCGGGCGAUCGCGAACACGAUGCCGCGGUAGUGAGUCUCGCGCAGCGUCCGCUUCAUCCCGGGGACCAGCUCCCGCGUGUAGUCCUCGUGGAAGCCCCUCUCUCUCCCGAGGCCAGCGACGGUGCGGAUGUUGCCGACCGCUUCCACCGCCAGCUGGAUUGAACACAUGAGCGCGUUCCACUGCCGGUGCGAGGGUGAAUGCCCUUGGAUAUUUUUUUUUCUUCCAAACCUAACUAAUUACCAAGUGUAUUUGGGAGGGGUCUGGGUUAGGGAGAGACUCUAAGUGCGUCUCAGGCCGAAGCCUAUACGCUCUCAGCAUGCAGGUUAUGAACCAUGCAGGAGAGGAAGCAUGCAUCAUGUGCUAGGAGGGGAUUGGCCAGCCAUGGCAACGUUUUAGCCAUGACUAACUCCCCUCACUGACUAUUCUAAGUUAAAACUAGAUCAGUUGGGCCCAGGUAAAACCUGCAUAGACAAAGGGGAAAACCCUGGGCAUUGACAUGCGGGAUGCAAAAUUUCAUGCAUUAAUUACAAGCAGGUUGGUUACAGGAAACAGAAGUUGGACAGAGUAGAAAGACUACUAUGCAAAUGGGCGGGAGCUUGGACAUUUUGUCCGCAUUUUGUAUGGUGGCACUGGCUGUUUCGGGGGCGACUUUGUCGUUUCCCACCAGGCUGCCAGCCAGCCUAGACUAAGUUAAGAAGGGGAAAAAUUUGUGUACGCUGUUGAAUUUAAGCUAAUGUAAAGAAACAUUAAAUUAACAUAGAAAUAAACAUUUAAAAUAUA